Molecule: ribosomal RNA, 526 nt
Filed under: Acrocirridae sp. squidworm
Lineage: Eukaryota; Metazoa; Annelida; Polychaeta; Terebellida; Acrocirridae
Description: partial 16S ribosomal RNA
Rfam family: Bacterial large subunit ribosomal RNA
Source: RNAcentral
AAACAUUGCCUCAUGAAUCUAAAUAUAUAAGGUACAUCCUGCCCAGUGAUAUAUUUUUAACGGCCGCGGUACCCUGACCGUGCUAAGGUAGCAUAAUCAUUUGCCUUCUAAUUAAAGGCUAGUAUGAAUGGACAAACGAAAGUUUAUCUGUCUCUAAUAAAUAAAUAAAAAUUAAUCAUUUAAUGAAAAAGUUAAAAUACAAAUAAAGGACAAAAAGACCCUGUAGAACUUUAUUUAACCCCAGCCCAACAACUUAAUAUUAAUAUAAUUUCUACGGCCGGGUCUUAAUUUAGUUGGGGCGACUUUGGAAUAUAAAAAUCUUCCUUUAUAUAUUAAGCCCAUAAGCUAUCCUAUUGACCCUAUUAAUAGAUCAUAAGAAUAGUUACCUCAGGGAUAACAGACUAAUUUUCCUUAAGAGACCACAUUGACAGGAAAGUUUGGCACCUCGAUGUUGGCUUAGGUGCCCCUUGAAGUGCAGCCGCUUCAAAUGGCGGGCUUGUUCAUCCCUUAAACACCUACGUGAUCU